RNAcentral lists this ribosomal RNA (443 nucleotides) under uncultured bacterium. Its description in RNAcentral is "partial 16S ribosomal RNA". It matches the Rfam family "Bacterial small subunit ribosomal RNA", at positions 338 to 795 of the family's 1533-position model. The record is from RNAcentral.
CCUACGGGAGGCAGCAGUGGGGGAUAUUGGACAAUGGGGGGAACCCUGAUCCAGCGACGCCGCGUGAGUGAAGAAGUAUUUCGGUAUGUAAAGCUCUGUCAGCAGGGAAGAAAGAAAUGACGGUACCUGACCAAGAAGCCCCGGCUAACGACGUGCCAGCAGCCGCGGUAAUACGUAGGGGGCAAGCGUUAUCCGGAAUUACUGGGUGUAAAGGGAGCGUAGACGGGUAAGUAAGUCUGGAGUGAAAGGCCGGGGCCCAACCCCGGGAGUGCUCUUGAAACUAUUGAGCUUGAGUGCAGGAGAGGUAAGCAGAAUUCCUAGUGUAGCGGUGAUAUGCGUAGAGAGUAGGAGGAACACCGGUGGCGAAGGCGGCUGACUGGACUGUAACUGACGUUGAGGUUCGAAAGCGUGGGGAGCAAACAGGAUUAGAUACCCGAGUAGUC